GCAAACUUGGUCAUUUAGAGGAAGUAAAAGUCGUAACAAGGUUUCCGUAGGUGAACCUGCGGAAGGAUCAUUAUUGAAUAAAACUUGGUUUUUUUGGGUUGUUGCUGGUUCAUUUGAACAAGUGCACACUCAUAAUACCAUUUUUUAAAACUCCCACCUGUGCAUCUUGUGUAGACUUGGACAAAAACAUCUCAUUAGAGUAAAUACGUACAUGUGUAUCUCUAUGGAUCUAGAAUUGCUGCACAAACAAACAAGCUUGCUUUUCUUGUGUUUUCCGGUCUAUGUUUUUUUUUCCAACACGCUGAAUGUGAUUUGAAUGUUAUAUAAAUAAGAGGACACUAGUUGUGUCUUUUAUAUUAUAAACAAAAAUACAACUUUCAACAACGGAUCUCUUGGCUCUUGCAUCGAUGAAGAACGCAGC
Molecule: unclassified non-coding RNA, 421 nt
Filed under: uncultured fungus
Lineage: Eukaryota; Fungi
Description: partial contains small subunit ribosomal RNA, internal transcribed spacer 1, and 5.8S ribosomal RNA
Rfam family: Eukaryotic small subunit ribosomal RNA (bases 1-73)
Source: RNAcentral